AGAUCUACUAAUUACAAGUGCUAUAGAAGAGCUAAGCAUUAUUAAUCAUGAGAGAAUAUCCAUUGACUUCAGCGGAACUGUGGCUGCAGGAACGAUCUCACUUUUCUGAAAGCGAAUAAGGUCCUACAGGACAUGCAGAGGUUGACAUUUUCUUUCAAACUUCCUUAUUUCCACUACUUGUCCAUCAUACAUAUGUAUUUGUAAAUCUGUGUCUUUACAUUUUACCCGAGGAGAACACUUUGGUUUUCACAAAGGAAAGAAAAAAGUCUCUCACAGAAGUGCUGAUCUUUGCAAAGAGACACAUCAGCAGCAAGCAUGGAGUUUGGUGGUUGUGGAUACUGAUUCAUUUUUCCUGGGGCCAUUCAAAUAAUAAGCCUAUCAUCUGAUUGCUUUCCUUCAUAUGGCAACUUGUUUUUAUGAAUCAAUGUUACAAUAAUGUGAAAACAAAGAUUCUCUCAAACUUUCUGUUAUUGAAGUCUU
Non-coding RNA from Chelonoidis abingdonii (Abingdon island giant tortoise), 480 nucleotides. Lineage: Eukaryota; Metazoa; Chordata; Testudines; Testudinidae. The record is from RefSeq and is a predicted model, not a curated record.